UGUUUCGGCUAGGGGGUCAUCCCGACUUACCAACCCGAUGCAAACUGCGAAUACCGAAGAAUGUUAUCACGGGAGACACACGGCGGGUGCUAACGUCCGUCGUGAAGAGGGAAACAACCCAGACCGCCAGCUAAGGUCCCAAAGUCAUGGUUAAGUGGGAAACGAUGUGGGAAGGCUCAGACAGCCAGGAUGUUGGCUUAGAAGCAGCCAUCAUUUAAAGAAAGCGUAAUAGCUCACUGGUCGAGUCGGCCUGCGCGGAAGAUGUAACGGGGCUAAACCAUGCACCGAAGCUGCGGCAGCGACACUAUGUGUUGUUGGGUAGGGGAGCGUUCUGUAAGCCUGUGAAGGUGUGCUGUGAGGCAUGCUGGAGGUAUCAGAAGUGCGAAUGCUGACAUAAGUAACGAUAAAGCGGGUGAAAAGCCCGCUCGCCGGAAGACCAAGGGUUCCUGUCCAACGUUAAUCGGGGCAGGGUGAGUCGACCCCUAAGGCGAGGCCGAAAGGCGUAGUCGAUGGGAAACAGGUUAAUAUUCCUGUACUUGGUGUUACUGCGAAGGGGGGACGGAGAAGGCUAUGUUGGCCGGGCGACGGUUGUCCCGGUUUAAGCGUGUAGGUGUGUGUUCCAGGUAAAUCCGGUUCACUUUAACACUGAGGCGUGAUGA
This 659-nucleotide ribosomal RNA is filed under the name Citrobacter freundii. Its description in RNAcentral is "partial 23S ribosomal RNA". It matches the Rfam family "Bacterial large subunit ribosomal RNA", at positions 911 to 1569 of the family's 2925-position model. The record is from RNAcentral. Lineage: Bacteria; Pseudomonadati; Pseudomonadota; Gammaproteobacteria; Enterobacterales; Enterobacteriaceae. RNAcentral also lists the same sequence under 1 other name.